Molecule: long non-coding RNA, 602 nt
Filed under: Daphnia pulicaria
Lineage: Eukaryota; Metazoa; Arthropoda; Branchiopoda; Diplostraca; Daphniidae
Description: uncharacterized LOC124320717, transcript variant X1
Source: RNAcentral
CGCCAGAGUGGAAGGAGCAGAUAAUUCAUUUUGCGGUUGGCUAAAUGAUCUAUCAGCAGAAGAAAAACGAAAACCCGAUGGCGUGAAAUGACGGGCAGUCGGCCAAAGUCGUGGCGACGCCGACCAGUCGCUUCGCGGUCAUGUCCUUUCUGUCGUGUCGUCGUGAAAGAAAAGAACCAAAAUGGCCUAAUACUUUUGAUUUGAUUUCUUCCAACCAAACCAAACAUUUGGCAAUCAAGAAAACAAACAAACAAAGCAGCUGACUGACUGACUGACUGACGUGCCGUGAUUACGCAAGGCCCGCGCGGACUCUCUCCCUCUAAUGAACCAAGAGUGUUGGGAUGAAUUUCCUGGAAUCCGGGUUCUAUAGAUAAAGACCUCCCGGACGUGUCUAAUUGCGAAAUUUGAAUGUUUAAUUUGUCUUUCGACUCGUUCGACGAGGGUGAAAGAUUCAAUAGCCUUCCGUGCCGCUGUCUUCAUGAACGCAUCGAAAAAUUUAAAAAUAAAAAGGACAUUCCGUCUGCCGUGAUGUAAUAAAAACAUUUUGCUCCUUUUUACUUUCAUUUUUUAUGUGUGUCUGUCCUGUCCCCUUCAAAAUGUUA